GGAGGAGUGGCAGAGUGGUCGAAUGCACUGGUCUUGAAAACCAGCGAACGUUAACGCGUUCCGUGGGUUCGAAUCCCACCUCCUCCGCCA
RNAcentral lists this transfer RNA (90 nucleotides) under Paracoccaceae bacterium. RNAcentral describes it as "Rhodobacteraceae bacterium (marine metagenome) tRNA-Ser". It matches the Rfam family "tRNA". Rfam says of the family: Transfer RNA (tRNA) molecules are approximately 80 nucleotides in length. Their secondary structure includes four short double-helical elements and three loops (D, anti-codon, and T loops). The record is from RNAcentral. Lineage: Bacteria; Pseudomonadati; Pseudomonadota; Alphaproteobacteria; Rhodobacterales; Paracoccaceae.